This 289-nucleotide long non-coding RNA is filed under the name Elaeis guineensis (African oil palm). RNAcentral describes it as "long non-coding RNA (EGUI_LNC056221)". Lineage: Eukaryota; Viridiplantae; Streptophyta; Magnoliopsida; Arecales; Arecaceae. The record is from RNAcentral.
GAGGAGUCUGGAGGACACUGUGGAAGGUCGACCACUAGAGGGGUUCAGAGGGAAUUUGUCUGUUGGAGGGGUCUGGUUGGCACUGUUGGAGUCCGGUUGGCAUUGUUGAAGGUUGAUGGCUGGAGAGGUACGGAAGACAUCGGAGAUAGUUGGUCAUUGUAGAAAUCUGGCUGCUGGAGCCCGUCCGUUGUAGAAGUUCGUCUGGAAUCCAUUCGCUGCAGAAGUUCAGACGGAGUCCGAUUCUUGCAGAAGUCUGGAAGGAGGCUGCUUACUAUAGAAGCUCGGAUAG